UACGUAGGUGGCAAGCGUUGUCCGGAUUUACUGGGCGUAAAGAGCGCGCAGGCGGUCGUUUAAGUCGAAUGUGAAAGCCCCCGGCUCAACUGGGGAGGGUCAUUCGAUACUGAUCGACUCGAAGGCAGGAGAGAGAAGUGGAAUUCCCGGUGUAGUGGUGAAAUGCGUAGAUAUCGGGAGGAACACCAGUGGCGAAGGCGACUUCUUGGCCGGCCCUGACACUGAGACGCGAAGGCGUGGGGAGCGAACGGG
Molecule: ribosomal RNA, 252 nt
Filed under: uncultured bacterium
Lineage: Bacteria
Description: partial 16S ribosomal RNA
Rfam family: Bacterial small subunit ribosomal RNA
Source: RNAcentral